CUCUCUCUCUCUCUCUCUCUCUCUCUCUCUCUCUCUCUCUCUCUCUCUCUCUUAUAGAUUAGCAGCUUCAAGCCCAUCCCCAUUAUCUUUACCCGCUACUCUCACAAGUCCCUCCGAGUACGGCACGCUCAACGAGUGGGGGUGUAGUGACCUCAUCUUCGACGACGAUGGAGGAGAAAUACCCAUCUCCUACCCAUCGAAAACUGAAGCCCUGCUUUGUGAGACCUCGUUACAAACUUGGAGGCCUUUGGUUUCCCCUACUUCCCUUCGUCGAACCAUUUUCUGGGUAUUCAUGGAUUUUGAUAUGUUGUAUGGAGGAUUGGUUAUGUUGGGGUAUGGGUUGUGAGUGAUUAAAUCUAGUGAGGGAAAAGGGAAAUUAUGGUUGUAGAGAGAGAAGGUUGGGGCUGUAAGGUGGGAACUUGCGGGCAAAAGGGGAUGCAAUGCCUUUUUUUCUUACUAAUAAUUUAAUUUUUCAUUUCUUUUUCUUUUUUCUUUUGACUUUUUGAAUUUUUAUUGUUGUUCUUAUUUUUUUUGAAUUUUUUGAUUGGUUUAUUGUUUAUGUGGAGUGCACAUCAUCAUAAAAAUAACUCAUGUAUACAAAAUUACUUAAACACCCCUGCCACAUCAUCAAUUUUAACAGAGUUUUGGAUGAAGUUGACGUCAGGGGGUAAAGUGGGUCACAAAACCACGGUCAAGCAGGGUAAUUGGGGCCACUUUAAGUUUUGGGGGGCAAUGUGAGAUUUGACCGAAGUUUCAAGGGGUACUACAGUAAAUAAGCCUAUGAGAUAUGAAUUUUAUAAUAAAUAUUGACACGUGGGAACCCAAAAUCUUAUCCGAAAAUCUUCUCCAGAUUAAUUGUUUAGUUAAAAAAAAUUAGAAGUGAAUAGUAUUUGCCAUUUGCCAUGGCAAUGAGUGGAAACACACCUUGCCUUUUGCAAGGGCUGCCACUAUUCACAUGAAUAGUAACAACCCUUGC
This 976-nucleotide long non-coding RNA is filed under the name Prunus persica (peach). Its description in RNAcentral is "long non-coding RNA (PPER_LNC007244)". Lineage: Eukaryota; Viridiplantae; Streptophyta; Magnoliopsida; Rosales; Rosaceae. The record is from RNAcentral.